This 468-nucleotide ribosomal RNA is filed under the name uncultured bacterium. Its description in RNAcentral is "partial 16S ribosomal RNA". It matches the Rfam family "Bacterial small subunit ribosomal RNA", at positions 28 to 507 of the family's 1533-position model. The record is from RNAcentral.
GACGAACGCUGGCGGCGUGCUUAACACAUGCAAGUCGAACGGUGAUGCUCCAGCUUGCUGGAGUGGAUCAGUGGCGAACGGGUGAGUAACACGUGAGCAACCUGCCCCAGACUCUGGAAUAAGCGCUGGAAACGGCGUCUAAUACUGGAUACGAAACUGGCCCGCAUGGGCAUGGUUUGGAAAGUUUUUCGGUUUGGGAUGGGCUCGCGGCCUAUCAGCUUGUUGGUGAGGUAAUGGCUCACCAAGGCGACGACGGGUAGCCGGCCUGAGAGGGCGACCGGCCACACUGGGACUGAGACACGGCCCAGACUCCUACGGGAGGCAGCAGUGGGGAAUAUUGCACAAUGGGCGAAAGCCUGAUGCAGCGACGCCGCGUGAGGGAUGACGGCCUUCGGGUUGUAAACCUCUUUCAGCAGGGAUGAAGCGAAAGUGACGGUACCUGCAGAAGAAGCACCGGCUAACUACGUG